RNAcentral lists this transfer RNA (71 nucleotides) under Bokermannohyla alvarengai (Santa Barbara treefrog). RNAcentral describes it as "tRNA-Gln". It matches the Rfam family "tRNA". Rfam says of the family: Transfer RNA (tRNA) molecules are approximately 80 nucleotides in length. Their secondary structure includes four short double-helical elements and three loops (D, anti-codon, and T loops). Further hydrogen bonds mediate the characteristic L-shaped molecular structure. tRNAs have two regions of fundamental functional importance: the anti-codon, which is responsible for specific mRNA codon recognition, and the 3' end, to which the tRNAs corresponding amino acid is attached (by aminoacyl-tRNA synthetases). tRNAs cope with the degeneracy of the genetic code in two manners: having more than one tRNA (with a specific anti-codon) for a particular amino acid; and 'wobble' base-pairing, i.e. permitting non-standard base-pairing at the 3rd anti-codon position. The record is from RNAcentral. Lineage: Eukaryota; Metazoa; Chordata; Amphibia; Anura; Hylidae.
UAGGAAAUAGUAAAAUGGGUUUACAGAGAGUUUUGGUCUCUCAGUUGUGGGUUCAAUUCCCACUUUUCUAA